GGACAAGAACCCAAGGGCUGAUGGUGUAUAACUUGGCACUCAGAGGCGAUGAAGGACGUGGCUACCGACGAAACGCUCCGGGGAGCUGGCAGCAAGCGAUGAUCCGGAGGUCUCCGAAUGGGGCAACCCACCUGGAUGGAAAUCCAGGUAUCAUAGGCUGAAUACAUAGGCCUAUGAGGCGAACCCGGGGAAGUGAAACAUCUCAGU
RNAcentral lists this ribosomal RNA (207 nucleotides) under Thermodesulfobacteriota bacterium. RNAcentral's name for it is "partial 23S ribosomal RNA". It matches the Rfam family "Bacterial large subunit ribosomal RNA", at positions 1 to 207 of the family's 2925-position model. Lineage: Bacteria; Pseudomonadati; Thermodesulfobacteriota. The record is from RNAcentral.